RNAcentral lists this ribosomal RNA (346 nucleotides) under uncultured bacterium. RNAcentral describes it as "bacterial SSU rRNA". It matches the Rfam family "Bacterial small subunit ribosomal RNA", at positions 143 to 507 of the family's 1533-position model. The record is from RNAcentral.
AAAUUAACUCAGGAAGUAAAUUUGAGGACUAAGUACCGGAUAAUGUCUUCGGAACCAAAGAAUUUUAUCGUCCUUUAAGAUGGGCCCGCGUAAAGAUUAGCUAGUUGGUGGGUAAAGGCCUACCAAGGCGACGAUCUUUAGCUGGUCUGAGAGGAUGAUCAGCCACACUGGGACUGAGACACGGCCCAGACUCCUACGGGAGGCAGCAGUGGGGGAAUAUUGGACAAUGGGGCGAAAGCCUGAUCCAGCAAUGCCGCGUGAGUGAUGAAGGCCUUAGGGUUGUAAAGCUCUUUUACCCGAGAUGAUAAUGACAGUAUCGGGAGAAUAAGCUCCGGCUAACUCCGUG